ACCUGAAGCAAGGAUCCUGUUUCUAAGAGAUGAUGUCUGAUUCAGGCAAAUCUAGGCAACAUCCUGCGCCACCUGUUCUCUGGGAGCCUGCUAGGGCCACCACACCUCAACCUUCUUCUUAUAAGGGCCUCAGAAGCUCAGGGUGUUAUCACAACAAUUAAGGAGACCUUUCUCUGAGAACUACAGCUGCCAAAGACAAACAUAGAAGGUAAGAAAACAAGAAGAAGAUGGCUGUCUGCAAACCAAAUC
Molecule: long non-coding RNA, 249 nt
Organism: Carlito syrichta (Philippine tarsier)
Lineage: Eukaryota; Metazoa; Chordata; Mammalia; Primates; Tarsiidae
Exons: 3
Source: RefSeq, a predicted model, not a curated record